GCCUGGGUGGCUCAGUCGGUGAAGCGUCUGACUUCAGCUCAGGUCAUGAUCUCACGGUCCAUGAGUUCAAGCCCCACAUCAGGCU
Molecule: non-coding RNA, 85 nt
Organism: Felis catus (domestic cat)
Lineage: Eukaryota; Metazoa; Chordata; Mammalia; Carnivora; Felidae
Source: Rfam